Molecule: ribosomal RNA, 406 nt
Filed under: uncultured bacterium
Lineage: Bacteria
Description: partial 16S ribosomal RNA
Rfam family: Bacterial small subunit ribosomal RNA
Source: RNAcentral
AUUGAACGCUGGCGGCAGGCCUAACACAUGCAAGUCGAACGAGGGGCGGACGGGCGAGUUAUGUCGGGGAAACUGCCUGAUGGACGGGGAUAACUACUGGAACAGGUAGCUAAUACUGCAAAACAUCGUAUGUGCCCAGAUGGGUUUGGCUAGUAGGUGGGGUAAAGGCACACCUAGGCGACGAUCCCUAGCUGGUCUGAGAGGAUGACCAGCCACACUGGAACGGAGACACGGUCCAGACUCCGACGGGAGGCAGCAGUGGGGAAUAUUGCACAAUGGGAGCAAGCCUGAUGCAGCCAUGCCGCGUGUAUGAAGAAGGCCUUCGGGUUGUAAAGUACUUUCAGCGGGGAGGCGUUACCCGCAGAAGAAGCACCGGCUAACUCCGUGCCAGCAGCCGCGGUAAUAC